GCCAUCAUAGCUCAGUGGCAGAGCAACACUGUCUUGUAAACCAGGGUCAUGCAGUCUGGAUCCUCACUGGUGGCU
Non-coding RNA from Trichonephila inaurata madagascariensis, 75 nucleotides. Lineage: Eukaryota; Metazoa; Arthropoda; Arachnida; Araneae; Nephilidae. The record is from the annotation of a GenBank genome assembly.